GACGGGGGGGGGCAAGUGUUCUUCGGAAUGACUGGGCGUAAAGGGCCCGUAGGCGGUGAAUCGGGUUGAAAGUGAAAGUCGCCAAAAAGUGGCGGAAUGCUCUCGAAACCAAUUCACUUGAGUGAGACAGAGGAGAGUGGAAUUUCGUGUGUAGGGGUGAAAUCCGUAGAUCUACGAAGGAACGCCAAAAGCGAAGGCAGCUCUCUGGGUCCCUACCGACGCUGGGGUGCGAAAGCAUGGGGAGCGAACAGG
This 252-nucleotide ribosomal RNA is filed under the name uncultured bacterium. RNAcentral's name for it is "partial 16S ribosomal RNA". It matches the Rfam family "Bacterial small subunit ribosomal RNA", at positions 524 to 776 of the family's 1533-position model. The record is from RNAcentral.